Pantherophis guttatus is the source of this 807-nucleotide non-coding RNA. Lineage: Eukaryota; Metazoa; Chordata; Lepidosauria; Squamata; Colubridae. The record is from RefSeq and is a predicted model, not a curated record.
CAUCUGGGAAAUAUCUGUGGGAUUUCUUGCAUUGUAAGAAAAGGAAGGAAGGAAGGAAGGAAGGAUGGAAGGAAGGAAGGAAGGAAGGAAGGAAGGAAGGAAGGAAGGAAGGAAGGAAGGAAGGAAAUCUUCAGCACUUGGAAAGCACAUAAACUGCAGUUGCCUUCUUUUAAUACCAAUAACAAUCUUACGAGAUAAAGUGGGCUAAAUGUGAGUGACUGACCAAAAAUCACCUGAAUAGAACAAAAGAAUACAAGAAUGAAGAAAAGAACAAGUUCAUAAAGUCACUUUUCUUGUAUCUGUUUCCGUCCAAUCUUCAUUUUCAACUUCUUUGAGGUUACCCUAUCUACCUAGCACAUUGCUGCCACUGUGAGUUCCUAAGAACAAAUGUUUUGGCUUUAAGGAUCAAAGACAUAUAAAUACCAUGCUUCUCAAAGCCAACCUGUCAUUUCUGUGACCUUAGCAAUAGUACAAAAUAUCUCCUUGACACUGAUCAGUCACAAAACAGAUGGCAGGUGUGAAACUGAGUAAGAAUUCAUCAAAAGGUACAGCUAUAUCUGCUAUGGACAAAGACAAAGUUCAUAUCAAACUACAUAUGAUUCAUCCAAGCAAGAAUAUCUGUUCUGGAAAUGGUUGGUUUCAAGGCUGUAAUUACCACUAUCUCUACUUCCUAUUUUUAUUUCCUUGGACCGUGUUCCUCAGUAUUCCAUCCAUCUCUACUCUACAAAUAAAGAGUGAAAUGUAUAUAUAUAUAUACUCAGGAUAAUAAUUCAUGCACCUGAUAAACUGGAUUAUGGACCCUGAAAA